RNAcentral lists this ribosomal RNA (1342 nucleotides) under uncultured bacterium. Its description in RNAcentral is "partial 16S ribosomal RNA". It matches the Rfam family "Bacterial small subunit ribosomal RNA", at positions 28 to 1381 of the family's 1533-position model. The record is from RNAcentral.
GACGAACGCUGGCGGCGUGCUUAACACAUGCAACUCGAACGGAAAGGCCCUGCUUUUGUGGGGUGCUCGAGAGGCACAAUGGGUGAGAUAACGCGUGAGUAACCUGCCCUUGACUUUGGGAUAACUUCAUGAAACUGGGGCUAAUACCGGAUAGGAGCUCCUGCUGCAUGGCGGGGGUUGGAAAGUUUCUGAGGUUGGGGAUGGACUCGCGUCUUAUCAGCUUGCUGGUGGGGUAGUGGCUUACCCAGGCUUUGACGGGUAGCCGGCCUGACAGGGUGACCGGCCACAUUGGGACUGAUAUACCGCCCACACUCCUACAGGAGGUCACAAUGGGGAAUAUUGCACUAUGGGCGGAAGCCUGAUGCAGAAACACCUCGUGCGGGAUGACUGCCUUCCGGGUGUAAACCGCUUUCGCCUGUGACCAACCGUGAGUGACAGUUAUGCGUAAAGAAGCACCGGCUAACUACGUGCCAGCAGCCGCGGCGAUACGUAGGGUGCGAGCGUUGUCCGGAUUCAUUGCGCGUAACGGGCUCGCACGAGGUUGAUCGCGUCAGAAGUGAAAUCUUGUGGCUUAACCCUGAGCGUGCUUUCGAUACUGAUGAGCUUGAAUGAACUAAAGGUAGGCGGAAUGUGACGAGUAACGGUGAAAUGCAUAGAUAUGUCAAGAGGAACACCGAUUGCGAAGGCAGCUUACUAUGGUUUUAUUGACGCUGAAGCACGAAAGCGUGGGGAGCGAACAGGAUUAAAUACCCUGGUAGUCCACGCCCUAAACGAUGAAUACUCGCUGUUAGCGAUACACACUUAGCGGCUAAGCGAAAGCGUUAACUAUUCCACCUGGGGAGUACGGCCGCAAGGGUGAAACUCAAAGGAAUUGACGGUGGCCCGCACAAGCGCCGGAGCAUGAGGUUUAAUUCUAUGCAACGCGAGGAACCUUACCCUGGCUUGAAAGUUACUGACGAUAUUAGAGAUAGUAUCUUGAGCAAUCACACUAAACUAGGUGCUGCAUGGCUGUCGUCAGCUCGUGCCGUGAGGUGUUGGGUUAAGUCCCGCAACGAGCGCAACCCCUAUGUUUAGUUGCCAGCACGUUAUGGUGGGGACUCAGUGGAGACUGCCGGGGUCAACUCGGAGGAAGGUGGGGACGACGUCAAGUCAUCAUGGCCCUUACGUCCAGGGCUACACACGUGCUACAAUGGAUGGUACAGAGAGUGGCGAUCCUGUGAGGGUGAGCGAAUCUCGGAAAGCCGGUAUCAGUUCGGAUCGGGGUCUGCAACUCGACCUCAGGAAGUCGGAGUCGCUAGUAAUCGCAGAUCAGCAACGAUGCGGUGAAUACGUUCCCGGGGCU